UAAUUCGAAGCAACGCGAAGAUCCUUACCAGGUCUUGACAUCCUUUGACAAUCCUAGAGAUAGGACGUCCCCUUCGGGGGCAGAGUGACAGGUGGUGCAUGGUUGUUGUCAGCUCGUGUCGUGAGAUGUUGGGUUAAGUCCCGCAAUGAGUCCAACCCUGGAUUUUCGUUACCAGCAUUCAGUUGGGCACUGUAAGGUGACUGCCGGUGACAAACCGGAGGAAGGUGGGGAUGACGUCAAAUCAUCAUGCCCCUUAUGACCUGGGCUACACACGUGCUACACUGGACAGAACAAAGGGCAGCGAAACCGCGAGGUUAAGCCAAUCCCACAAAUCUGUUGUCAGUUCGGAUCGCAGUCUGCAACUAGACUGCGUGAAGCUGGAAUCGUUAGUAAUCGCGGAUCAGCAGGCCGCGGGGAACCGUUCCCGGGCCUUGUACACACCUCUAAUGGCACCACGAGAGUUUUAACACCCGAAGCCGGUACCGUUCCUC
RNAcentral lists this ribosomal RNA (491 nucleotides) under Bacillus subtilis. RNAcentral's name for it is "bacterial SSU rRNA". It matches the Rfam family "Bacterial small subunit ribosomal RNA", at positions 947 to 1441 of the family's 1533-position model. The record is from RNAcentral. Lineage: Bacteria; Bacillati; Bacillota; Bacilli; Caryophanales; Bacillaceae.